This 1333-nucleotide unclassified non-coding RNA is filed under the name Melitaea cinxia (Glanville fritillary). RNAcentral describes it as "misc RNA ENSMCXG00005000624.1". The record is from RNAcentral. Lineage: Eukaryota; Metazoa; Arthropoda; Insecta; Lepidoptera; Nymphalidae.
GCGGCCCUCCCCCGCGCCGCCCCCGCCCGGACGCCGCCGGAGCGAGUGGCGCGCGUUUACACAAUCCGUUGGUUCGGCGAGGGUGACGCUCGCGCGUGGCAAACACUAGCCUUCCUGUGACGACAAUCGACGCGUGAACACGUAUCAUCAUUUUUUUUUUUCAACUUACUAUACACCAGCGCGUCUUGAUGACUUCCAUACUAAUAGGAAUUUAUAUGAUUAUUUUAAAUAAUUCUAUCAAGAGUUGCAUCGAAGUGUAGCCGCGAAUGUGAAACCAUAAUAUGCGGCGAAAAUUCUUAAGCUCAUAUAAUUCGUCGCUCACAACAAUAUCACAAUGAUAUAAAAUAAAUCGGAUUUAUUCAAAAAUAUUAAAUAAAAACUGUGAAAAAAAAUAUUAUGAAGUGACGAUUAGUGCUACAGUGUACGGAAAAUACCUAUUAGAUUAAAAUGGCGCUAAAAUAGUGCUAAGGAAAAAUAUAAAUUAGAAGAAGGAAUCGAAAAGUAACUGCAAGUCUAAAUCGUGAUUGUGUGUGCUAGUGUAUAUUUGAGAAUAACAAAGGAUAAACGCGUGACGGUCGUUGACACGGAAUUUUUGUGGUAUGUAUUUUAAUAUAAAAACACUCAACGCUGUAAUAAAAAUUCUUUAGUAAUGAUCUUUAGUUAGGUAGGUAUCAUAUUUGUUAUAAGAGUAGUGGAAGCGAAAUGGGUAUAUACAUGUUUAGGGUGUUCGACAUCUAACUGCACUCCUCAAAAUUCAAAUUCAUUCCUCCAAAAUAUAUGUUCUGUGUAUAGAAGAAAGAAUAAGAAGAAAUGUACUUUACUGUGCAUACAAGUUAACAUACAUACAUAGGUAUCUUAAAUUAUAUAGAUAGUAACAUCCAUAGGUAUUUUAAACUCGUUCUGCGUAUAAAGAAAUCUUAGUCCAUUUUUAAAUUUGACUCCUUUUAAAGUAGACGAGAACCCCCCCCCCCCCCAUUUAAAGGAACGCAGUUAGAAGUUGAACGCUCUGUAUAAGCCUACGAUACAUAAUAUAGCUUAUGACAUAUAAUAAAGCCUAAAAUAUAUAAUUGUGUGCGUACAACUUUUAUUUUUUAUUUUUUUUUUGUUUUAAAAAAUUAUUAAUAAAUAAAAUUAAUGGAUUACUUAUUAGUGUUUUGACCUAAGAUUUAAUGUCUAUUAUUACUUUAGUAAGUCAAAUUUAAAUUCUGGGAUUAUGCAAAUGAUAAAUGCACGUUAAUGGAAAAGUUACUCGAACAUUUAUUUAAUAUUUCUUACACAUAUUUUAGCUUCUUUAAAUACCAACUAUAAAAAUUAUUUUUUGUUAAAUAAAUAU